Musca domestica (house fly) is the source of this 3236-nucleotide long non-coding RNA. RefSeq annotates it as double-strand-break repair protein rad21 homolog A. The transcript has 3 exons. NCBI's taxonomy places the organism in Eukaryota, Metazoa, Arthropoda, Insecta, Diptera, Muscidae. The record is from RefSeq and is a predicted model, not a curated record.
UAAAUCCCUAUUCUUUGAUUGUGAACAGUGUCAUUCCUUUUCAAAGCGAAGUUUUCAUUUUUAAUUUUCUUUGAGUUUGGUUUCUUUUGAUUUUUACAACUAAUUGUUCAUGAACAAUUAACCGAAAGUUAAAAGAAUUUCUAAGUUUGUGCCAAAAUAUAUUGCCUAAAAAGUGUUUAAAAACUGAUCGAAAGGAAAACAAUACAAAAAUACACAUUAAACAAAACACGGAGAAGAAGCAUAUGUGGUUGCUUCACAAAGAACGAAGAAAGCAACAAACAAAAUUAUUAAAAAUUAGAAAAAAAAACUUGUGUAAAUGUGAAGAAAAGCUACAACAAAUAUAUUCUCUGAGGUCUGCAAAAGAAUUGUGUGUUGCGCUAAAAAAGUGACGACCACCAAGACGAAGAACGACGAAGAGAGAAAACAACAGUAUCAAAGACCACAAACUGCUAAAUUCAAUCAAGAAAAUAAAUAUAAGCUGUUGAGAAAAAAGCUGGAAAAACAUUACUGCAACUUUCAACUACGUCAUACAAGAAACAAUAACAAAUUUCACAUGACAAUCUAAAACAAAAGAAAGAAAGACACAUGAUUCUACUACAGCCAAGAACAACAACAUCAGCUACUACUUCUACUACUACUUCUCAAUAGAAUAUCUAAGAAAAAAGCAAAACAGAGAUUUGUCAGAAGACGACACAGACGAUACAUAGACAAAGAGAAAGAGAGAGAGAGGGAGUAAAAGAGAGUGAGAGAGAGUCAGUAACAGUUGAAUAUGUUUUAUGCACACAUUAUAUUGGCCAAAAAAGGCCCUUUGGCAAGAGUAUGGCUGGCGGCCCAUUGGGACAAAAAAAUCACAAAGGCUCAUGUCUUUGAGACCAACAUUGAGAAAUCCGUCGAGGGCAUUAUGCAGCCCAAGGUCAAGCUGGCGCUGCGCACCUCCGGCCACUUGUUGCUGGGCGUCGUACGCAUCUAUUCGCGCAAAGCCAAAUAUCUGCUGGCCGAUUGUAAUGAGGCCUUUGUAAAGAUAAAAAUGGCAUUUCGUCCGGGCAUGGUUGAUCUGCCGGAGGGACAUCGGGAGGCCAAUGUAAAUGCCAUUACACUACCUGAGGUAUUUCACGACUUUGACACGGCCUUGCCGGAGCUAAACGAUAUCGACAUCGAAGCCCAGUUUGCCAUGAAUCAAUCGCGGGCCGAUGAGAUUACCAUGCGAGAAGACUAUGGCAGCAUGUCGCACUCGUUGCACGACGACGGAUUUGGUGACAUUGGCUUUGGCAGUGACACGCCAGAUAUGAUGCGAGACCACCUAGACUCGCACAUGAAUGAUCAGCUGUUCGAAGAUGAGGUUAUGCCACACAUGGGCCGAGGAGCAGGGGAGGGCAAUGAGGCCAGUAUCAGUCUCAAUGAGCCGAGUCACAUGUCCCAACCCCGUCUGGACAUCGAGGAGGCUGAUGGUUUUGGUGAUGAGUUUGGCCAGCCAGAACUGUUUGGUGAUGAGCUAUUCGGCGAACCGCCACGUUUGGACCCGGAGGUCCAGCAACGCCUUGAAAAUCUACCCAUUAUUGAAGAUUCCGAUGAUGAUCAUUUUGAUGUCAGAGCUCCGUCACCGGCCUCCUCAUGCCAAGGUUCACCGCUGCCGGCCCAUCAUCAAAAUGAAGAUGAACAUGCCCAAAUGGAAACUCCCAACAAACAGGCUCCACCCGAACAAGCCGAUGAAAAUCUCGAACAAUCAACCCUGCUCCAGAACGAGGAGGAAAGUUUUGCCCUAGCCCCCAUUGAGGCUUCGGCCUACAAGGGUGUAACCAAAAAUGCCAAGCGCAAACGUAAACUUAUCGUCGACGAGGUCAAGAAUAUCUCCGGCGAGGAGAUGAAAGCCCAGCUGGCAAAUACCUCAGAUAUUGUAACCAUUCUCGAUUUGGCACCACCCACCAAGCGUCUGAUGUACUGGAAAGAGACCGGAGGUGUGGAGAAGCUAUUCUCACUACCCUCUCGUAUGAUACCGGCCCGUGUGCUCAUGAUCAACUACAAUCGCCAUUUGAUUUCCCGUUUCACACCCCUGGAAGAUUUUACCUGUUUGGGCCCGGCCGACAUGUUGGCUCUCGAUCACAUACAUAAUGAAAACGAAAACGAUUCCAAUGCCAUUAUAACCAAAAAGGGUGGACGUAAACGUAAAUUGGAUGCCAUUACCAAUGAACCAGCCGCAGCCCCAUUGGACACAACCUUAACGCAACAGAAUGUCUCCAUGCCGGAACAGGUGAGAGAACAAGAGAGUAUGGCAAAUGCCACAGCAGAUUCUCUGCGCCUGGAUGUGGCCGGAGUGGGUGGUCAAAACGACUCCACAUUGCCGCCAGCAGAGGCCACCAUCUAUGACAAUUGCCAGCGCAGCCCGAAUCCCAUGUUUGCCCUCAACGACAUUCACAAUUUGGAUAACCUCAACAGUACCCUGCCCAGUGAUUUGGGUAAUCUACAUCAUGAUCUGGACAAUGACCACGAUUUCGAUCACGUCAACAUGACACCGGGUAACUUGCAUCAUGGACAAAUGACACCCCACCAUCCGGAAAUUGAAGCCAUUGAAUCAAUACCAAAUCUCCCUGUAGAUCAAAUAUCCUCCAUUCUCAAAGAGGCAGAAAAUAUGUCACAACAGCAACAACAGAACAAUACCACAACGACAAAUAACCUAGCCUCCAGUCUGGCCUCCGAUUGGAAUGAAUGUCCUCCAUCAAAUGCACAGCAGCAAACACCCGCCGCCACUGCACCCUCCUUUGAAAUUCCCACUGCACCACAGGAAGAACAGCAAGAAAACGAGACCAGUGAACAAUUUGAAGAGCGUGUGCUCAACAAGCGUGCGGCCCAAAUGUUCUAUGCCGUCAAGAAUCGCAUGGUCGCCCAGGAUUGUCUGGUCCUGUCCGAGCUGACGGGCAACAACAGCCGCAAACAGGCCGCCCAGAAAUUCUACUCCCUGUUGGUAUUGAAAAAAUUCCGUGCCCUUAAUAUCACCCAGGAGGGACCCUAUGCGGACAUUGUUAUAACGCGAGGCACUCUCUUCGAUAAUCCUAAGCUAUAAAAACAUUUCAAUUUCAUUUGAUUUAAUUAUCUUUUUGAAUAAUUAUUUUAUUUUCCCCCAACCCUUAAUAUUUUAUUUUAUUUCUUUUUUUUUUUUUUGUUCUUAAUGUAAUUUCUAUUUUUUGACAAAAAUGAGCAUGUUUUAAUAAUAAUAAAAAAAAUGUAAAAGAACAAAAAAA